CAGCAGCCACGGUAAUACAGAGGGUGCGAGCGUUAAUCGGAUUUACUGGGCGUAAAGCGUGCGUAGGCGGCUUUUUAAGUCGGAUGUGAAAUCCCUGAGCUUAACUUAGGAAUUGCAUUUGAUACUGGGAAGCUAGAGUAUGGGAGAGGAUGGUAGAAUUCCAGGUGUAGCGGUGAAAUGCGUAGAGAUCUGGAGGAAUACCGAUGGCGAAGGCAGCCAUCUGGCCUAAUACUGACGCUGAGGUACGAAAGCAUGGGGAGCAAACAGGAUUAGAGACCCCUGUAGUCCCUGUCUCUUAUAA
This 301-nucleotide ribosomal RNA is filed under the name uncultured bacterium. Its description in RNAcentral is "partial 16S ribosomal RNA". It matches the Rfam family "Bacterial small subunit ribosomal RNA", at positions 509 to 809 of the family's 1533-position model. The record is from RNAcentral.